GUAUUAAAGGUGUUGCCUGCCCAGUGAAACAAUUUUCAACGGCCGCGGUAUCCUAACCGUGCAAAGGUAGCGUAAUCACUUGUCUUUUAAAUAAAGACUCGUAUGAAAGGCUAAAUGAGGACGAAACUGUCUCUUGUAGUUGACCAGUUAAAUUGAUCUCCAAGUUCAAAAGCUUGGAUAAACACAUAAGACGAGAAGACCCUGUGGAGCUUAAAACUAAUACUAUAUGACAAUAGCAUAAGUUUUAAGUUGGGGCGACUUCGGAAUAAAACUAAACCUCCGAGCAUGGAUCACCAUUCCUAACUUAGACCUACAAGUCAAAGAAUAUUAUACGACCCAGUCACACUGAGCAACGAACCAAGUUACCCCAGGGAUAACAGCGCCAUCUUCUUCAAGAGUCCAUAUCGACAAGAAGGUUUACGACCUCGAUGUUGGAUCAGGACACCCAAAUGGUGCAGCAG
This 461-nucleotide ribosomal RNA is filed under the name Carlia rhomboidalis. RNAcentral's name for it is "partial 16S ribosomal RNA". It matches the Rfam family "Bacterial large subunit ribosomal RNA", at positions 1843 to 2561 of the family's 2925-position model. The record is from RNAcentral. Lineage: Eukaryota; Metazoa; Chordata; Lepidosauria; Squamata; Scincidae.